CAUAUCUUCACUCCUCCUCCUCCUCCCCCUUUCCCUGCUCUCUUGGAGAUGACGAUGGUUAGCCGAUCACGGUGGAGGUAACCCCGCGAUGCACCGACAUUUAUUAUCGCGCACUCGCAACACAACUACUCCCCUUCGUAUCCUCCUCGUGCACAUACGGCACUCAGUCGUUCUGUCGCACGUGGAAAACGCACCCGCCCGCCGCGGACACGUACUGUCAAGCGUCCGCUUGCAUCGUUAUCCUUGUCGGAGCAUCCGCGAUUCACGACGCAGCCCUUUGCUAAAUCGCACUCGCCGUCAUGGUGCCGAUCGCACUCUCACCGAAAACGUGGCUUGCUCGCGUAGAUUCAUCCGCGGGGGUGAAGGAGCGAAGAAAAUCGUCGUCACCCCGAUGCACCGUAACUCCCGAAGACUCUCGACAACUUUCUCGCGGGUUUUCGAUUAGGACGAGAGAAAAAAGAAGCGACGCAAGGAAUAAUCCCAAAUGAGAUGUUCGAUAGAUCGCUCUCUCUCUCUCUCUCCCUCGCGUUCGUCCAACACACCGAGAACACCGUCGGAGACGAUCUCUCCUAUCCCGUCGCGCGAAUCACUGCGUCCGCACCGGCGGUAUCAGCCGGUCGGUCGAGGGAGGAGAGGACGGAGGGAAAAGAGAAAGAGCGGACGACACGACGCGAUGCCGGGGGGCCGCCGGUGGAGAGAAACCACGGCGCGCGCGUUCGCAACGGCCGCCGCGUGGAAAGGCAGUUGAGAACUGACUGCCUCCUCUCUCGAAGCGAGCCUCCUCGCUCCCAUGGCCCGAGCUUUGAGUGACGCGAGGCGACGCGGCGCGACGCGACGCGACGCGCGGCCGGUGUGACGCGUACAUCUCUCUUUCUCCAUCUCUGUCCGUCGUUCCCUUUUACUCCGCUCCGUUUCUCUCUCUCUUCCUUCUCUCCUUCGCCCUCUUUCUCUGUCGUCCCUCCCUCUCUCUCUCACGACUCACGGCUCGCUGCUCUCCUUUUAUCCCUCUCUCGCGCCUUCUCCGUCGCGCGCACUCUUUCGCUGUCGCCUCGUCUCUCUCGCCCCCCGCGUGUCUCGGCCACAUCUCUGUCCCCCUUUCGACAGCCCUCCCCUAGCACGCGGCGCGCCGCGUUGCGCGCACAUGCAUCUCGUUGCGUGUAUGCGUUCCUUAGAUAUGGAUAUGGAUAUACCGUACGUGAUGUGUGUGCGCGCACCGUAGCGACACCGGGCUCUCACCGGAGAACAUGGACCUGUCGCCCUCAGCUUCUUCAUUCUCCGUGCUCGUCGCCUCCUGCACCCCUCGCUGACGAGCGGCGACAAAGCCUAGAGCUUCCACAAUGUUCGUUUCGUCGUCUCUCUCGGUCUUUUUCUCCUCGGCUCUCUCGUUCGCCGUCGUCAGGACGCGUUUUAAGGAUCCUGAUGACAGCGAGUGAAAGAGAGAGUCUUGGCUCGCCCUUUCACAUGUCGUGAGGUCACUUGACGGGUCGUUCGUUCGCGCGUGUAUUUUUUGGCUAAACUUUUCUGGCUAAAAUGUCGCUAGUUCUCAUGCUGUGAGCAAAUUUCAAUCAAACGCAUUACCGGAAGCAAGUUCACUUAUAGUAAACCGUCUUACACAGCACUUUAUCUUCUUAGGCAUCGUGCCAAAGUGGUUCGGCUACCACGUCGUAGCUUCUGGGGCGAAUAACGGAAGGAACUGCCGUUUCCUCGUGAUUUUAUAAGUAUUUGUUUUUCAUUAAAACCACCCUUUUCCCCAGCGGUGUCGCCGCGCCUAAAUAUACAUAUUUAACAGUCCGGGUAUACCCACGAGAAAAAUGAGACGAAAGAUACAUCUAUUAAACAUCUCAGCAGAUCUCGUUAAAUAAAUUCGUUGGAAGUUAAAGAAGAAUUGAUCGCGAGACGAUCAACAAGUACUAAAAACUGUCUUAUGGCCUACCUUGCACAUAUGCAGGAUCUAUAUAUUUUAUAUUAACAUUAUUAUUUAAAAAACUGGAAAUUUAAACUCCAAUUUCGUGAUAUUUUAAUAUCUCGCGAUCGCCUUCGAGACACAGACACCGCGCCGAAACUAUCUCUCUCCCUCGUUCAUCGUCGGGGGUGCGUGCUCACGCUUCCCCUCGUUACUUUCGUUCCCCGCCGAAGUGGCUUUGAGGAUCGCACGUACGGGGGGACACCAUCGCCUCGGCUACCUGCACUCGCGUCGAGGGUGAGACAAAGGGGCGCGCACCCGCCAGAGUUCCAGAUUCAAAAGAAGACGACUAACCCUUCUCGUAACCCCCCGGCUGAACUGGGGUCUGUCGCGUAGCUGCGUAGUCGGUAUUGCAAACGGCGGUGGCGUCGGUGAGUGGUUUGCACCAAAGAUCAGUAAUUCGCUCGCAGGUGAAAAUAGUAACGACCAUCGACUCAUUCGCGGCGCGAAUCCGGUGAAAGGCUCGCGAUCGAUCGUCCGUGUCUCUCAUCGUCGACUGCCGUUUCCGUCUCGCUCGUCAAUCCUUCCCCUUUCUCUCUCUCCCCUUUUUAGUUAGCAGUAUCAACGAUUAUCGGUAUAACGAUUUACAAGAAAAACAUGAGAUUAACUAGGCGAUUAUCGCAUACACGAUGCGAUUCAUUAAUUAAUAUUAGUUAAUUGUUUUUGUAGACUUUGGCGCUUCGUGAAAAAGUUAAUCAGCCAGUAUUGCAUUUAGAGCUGGUUGCGAAAUCAUCAAUAAUUAACGAGAUUCUCGCAAUUUCAUGAAAUUUCCGACUGGUCCGUUUUAUGCAGCUCUCGGUGGCAGUGUCAUAAUUUCGAUAAUGCGACGUCGUAUCGAUCGUGACGGUCCCGGAAAGUCCUAUGGAAAUAAAAAGAGACCCAGCGAAUAUAACGUAGUUUUCUCUCUUUCUUUCUGCCUCUCGUCGUCGAUACAUCUUGUCAUCGACUGCAUCCAAUGGUCUAUUGUCUCUCGAGGAAUCUCCCCUUUUUCCUCACAUACGCGGCCUCAUAUACACCAAUAUCACGAUACGGGAUAUUCGCGAAGUGGAGGACACAGAAACAGUCGCGAGAGCGAGCGAGAGCGGUGACUUUGUAAAAGAGAAGCGAAGGAUACCGAAUGGAAAAAUUAAAAAUGAGAGGAAAACCGAAUGAACGAAUGGAUGAAACGAGACGGAGAAUGCGAGAUGAAGAAAAUGCUGCGCAGCGGUAGGAUAACGAUUUUGAAUGUUCUCCAAAAACUUGUGAAAAUCUCGUAAUAUACUUUUCCAAGGUAGACUCCCUUAAUGGCGAAUAAUACCAUCGCGGCGAGAAAUUCCGAAAGUUCCUCGCAAUUUCCCGUACCUCUCUUGUGCCCGACUGUUUUCAAUUUCCCUGACUUCUCUCCGGCUUCCUGCGGACCCGCAGCAACCCCGGCCAACAACCUGGGUAUAUCGGUGAUGACGGUUGGUGUGCAGCGUGCUGCAGCGUCGACGAGAGAAAAAAAAUGAAGAGAUGGCACGAGAUAAAACGUAAUGAGAAGGAGGGAAGAAAUGCCGCGGUUUACUCCCUAUCGGUCGCGACUUCUCUAUACCGCAUUAUUAACACGUCGGCAAGUUUGUAGCGGCAUUAUGCGCACACGUAACACGUUAACACAGUUUUACCCGUGAGAAUACAUAGGCGAAAGCGCAGUAUGGAUGACGGACACGUUAAACUACACCGUGAUUCCUGAAAGGCGAGACAUUUUCACGGAUGUAUCGGAGAUACACCCGGACGACACACAAGCUGGACACGCGUCAAGGUGUGGCCAUUGAUUCGGACCGCCCUAUGUGACGUGUCCGAUUUCCGUAAAAGAUUUCGAGGAAGCGCAUGGAGUGUUAAUCGAUAACUUUAUCUGGAACGAACAAAAGAGGGGACGUUAAAAAUAACUGAAUCAUAAAUUAUCGAAGCAACAUGUAAUCGCGACUCGUUUAUCCAACAAAAUACGUUCGGAACACACCUCACGCGUUUACCGCAUCCGCACCCUGUAGAAUCGCCGUGAAAGGUUUCGUCUUUUCGAAAGACCUCACGUGUGCGUUUUGCUCGUGCUGCCGAGAAUCCGAUUGAACGCAAUUAGGCAGCAGACAUCGAGCGGAUGAACGAUUAACGAUCCCCUCGGUGAGAAAAUAUGCGGGUGGUCGGAAGUUGAGAACCGUCGCAUUCCGAGGGAUGAACGAACACGCUAGUUCGCGUGUUAUGUACCGAGGCACGUUCUUUGUUCCUCUCGAGUGUUCCCUCUCCCCGUCUCUCUUUCUCGACGUGCUUUCCUCUUUCCUUCUCGGUCGAUCUCGCUCCCUUUCACGUUCCUCCUCUCAACCAUACCUCUCUCCGCUCGCAACCCUCACGUGAGCCGCUGCCACCCUCUCUCCCGGGGUCUCUUAUUAUAAUAAAAAAUUUCCACGUGAGCGCGGCUCGCGUAUAUAAAUAUACUUGGCGGAGCAUGCGCGCGCGCUCGACUUAAAGUGCUCGACUGCAUCCACCUAUCUAGCUAGCUAGUUAACUACCUACCUACCUACCUACCUACCUACCUAUCUACCUACCUACCUAGCGAGCUAGCUGGCUGACUUGGCUGGCUUGGCUACCUGUGCACAUGCACCCGUGGCGUUGGCGUAAUAAACGUCCUAGCUGGAACGCAGCGGGAGUUUUAAUCGCGCUCGAGUAAAAAAAGAGGAUCAACGUAGCACGGCCGACCGAUAUUCGCCCUUCGUUUUUUCCCCCUUUCUCGUCCGUCUCGAUGACAUUAUUAACAUAGAACGUGUACAAAUUUCAUCCUGUUAAACAUGUCAAACGCGCAUCGAGCAUUACUAGAAGACUUGGGAAGAAAGUUCGAUAUUACUUGAUAAUACCUGACAACAUCAGAAUGAAAUUUUCAAGUCUAGCGAGUAGCAUAGGAAAAUUUGUCUCGCGUUUUUGCAGUGGCACAUGACCCCGCUAACGAGGUUCGUCUCUCAGAUCUGUAAUCAGUGACGUGAAAAAUUCUCAGAGUCCAAUUUGUAUGUAAAUUAAAGUGCCGUUUCAUCGCCUAAUCGCGGUCGGAACGCGAGUGGAUAUUCGCGUUACGAAUCGCGAGCGUAAGUUCAUGCGCACCCCCUCGCUCGAUCGAUGGACGCGUGUACGCGUCCGCCAUGAAUUUAACAACCUAACGAAAAGGGAAAGGAACAGCGACGGCACUUGGUCACGAUUUUCCGGGACCUCGCGCGCUUUGUCUCGCCCCCAAGGGUGAGACGCAGACGAGACGCGGAUAAGGGGGUUGCGACCCCGAAGGAGGGCUCGAGUGAACAAGUUGAAGAGGUUGCGCGACUCGACUCGCUUCUAGCCUAGAUUCGACACUCCGCGGGUGAUCCGCGGAGAUUUUAAUUAGGAUCCGGUCGCGGCUGGGACACGCACGGUCCGUGUUCUUUCGAGACUAAUGAUCCUCCCGCCGGGUUGAUUAAUAUCCCGCGCACGGGGGCGACGUUCCCGUGCGGAUCCGUGGCGCGUGAUGCAACGAUAAUGGGUCGUGUUAUCGAUUCGUCGACAUUCCGCGGGAUCCGUUCCUCCGAAUGGAUGCGGCAAUUACGCGUUAUUAAUAAUAAACAAGAGUGCGGCCAUUCUUAAAUAAAGAACAUUUAUAAUAUUUUACGCACGUUAAUAUCAAUUGCACUCUCGAUUUAUAUCAAUUGAGUUCUCUUGAUACAUCUCAAUGACAAACAGUGAUAUGCUACAAUUGUAAAACGUUAUUGGAACAUGCAAUAAAAUUAGUUGUCACUGCGAAACGAUCGCUUUACAAAAAAAAUCUAGGAAACCGUCGACAAUGUGUCCGAGACUGUCCGUUCUGAAAUUCGUACGGCGGUUUGACGCGGGAUGAGUCAUCGAUCGAUUUUCUGCGCGUGAAAGGCCCCACGGCAGGGUGAUAAAUUUCAAUAAGGUUCAACCUUGACCUUUCUUGAUCCGUUCUGUCUAUCAUCGAGAACUGUGACGCUCCAUGCAAACACGUACAAUCUUUGAAAUGAGAUCUUUUCAAUAAUAUCGAAUAAAAUAUGUUCUGACAUUUGGUGAUGAAUUUAAGUUUCGCAAAUGUUAUUUGUUUCAUGGCAGUCGUUAAUCCCGACAGAUAAACAUCUCACGUUAAUAACCGUCGGAACGAGGAAAUCUCAUGAAACGAGCGCGCGGCACGUUCGUAAGAGUGAAAAAUAAUGAGAUAAGACCAAUGUGUAUGUACGUGUGUGUGCCAAUGUUGUGUGCAGCUAAAAUAGCAUACGUCAAGAACAUCCAAGCUGGUUUCCACGAUAUCCCCCCGUGUGAAGCACCGUCACAUAGCAGCUCAAUAUAGUCGACAAAGACCGUCAUAAUAAAGCCUCUGCAGUCUCUGCCACUCCUGCUUGAUUAUUUAUAGGAGAGAGUUGCGGGAGGGAUGGAAAUUAUUUUCCAUACUCGUUACUUUCCCUCUUUCUCGCUUGAUAAUGACCAACGUAUAGAUAUAAAAAUUUUAUAUUUAAUCAUCGCGACGGACUGCAAUCUCUUCCGAGAAGCGCUCCUUGUCCCUCGGCAGCAACCAGGACUCUUCGAUCCCCUUUGCUCAUCGAAACAGGUGAAUUUCCACGACGAUGACGAGUGUCGGUGCAUCGAGGCAGGUGUCGGAAAAAUGAAGAAGCGCAUCUCCGACUCUAGCAAAGAUUGCGCGGCAUUCAGUUCUUGGAAUGCAGUCCAUCAACGACGGAUUCGUACGAAUGACUCUGUACUCGAAGAGUCCCGUCGAGAGGCUGUCACUCAGUGAUUUAUACGUUCGUCCACGUCGAGGCCGCUGGUCCUCCCGGUCGCCCCCUUUAAAAACCCGCGUGAACCGCGCGGAAAUCCAUUAUCGACGCGAGGACCGCUUUCACGUGGCCAAAUGGAAAAAAAGGAAAUGUGCUCGAGAAGACGUUUGAUCAAGGUCCCGCGCGAGCAGCAUCAUUGUAUUCGACAGCUGACAAGAUCGAGCAAAAAGUGGUCCAAAUGCUUCUAUUGGUCAAAGUUGUCAUGCGAGGCCAAUUUCGCGUUAUUAAAUAUAAUGCCGCAUCUCAAACUAAGAGAGGAAAGGAAUGACAUUUCUCUUAAUUUCAUUUAAUAAAUCUAAAUAACGUUUCUUGCAAAUCAAUUUAGCGAAUUUGGUUGCAGAUUGAGGUGGAAGGAAAAGUCAAGACGACCCAGUACCCGAGUUGAAGCCAAACCAAACCGGAGUCUAUCGUCAGGAACAAAUGGGAGUGUCACAUGACGCACGUGCGCGAAACGAGAUGCGGCUAUUUUCUUCAGCUUGGCUAUACUCGAAAAUAGUAAUGCUUUAAUCGCGUGUCAUUUGCGGUUAAACGUCUAGGAAACGAUACGGAAAAAGCUCGAAUUCUAAUUUCGCAUUACGUCACAGUUCCGGGUUCAUGAUUUCUCGAAUAAAACAUAGGCAAAGUGAUUAAACAUCUUCGAUUGAUAAUAACUGUGUUAUUUCUUAAAGCUGCUUUAUAAAGAUUCGCCAAUGCUUCGACUAGGAAAUACGUAACUGACGAUUGUGGAGAACCGACAGAAUAGAGUUCUCUUGAAGAGAGCUUGCAUGGGAAAAAGAGAUAACGACAAGCUAAGCGGGACAAACCGGGAGUUCACCUCUGAAUAAUAUGCACGUACCACGUAAUCGAGUCUAAUCUUGCCGUAAUGACUGCAUUACAACAGCGAAACAAUAGCAUCAUAACUGUUUUACAACAAGUCCGGAAAGCGCUUGUAAAAUAACAUCUUUAACGUCCGGGAAAGUUUGCCCGACCGUCGUGUAAGCGCUAUUAUUUUUGAGUUUUCUAUGUACUUACAAUUGUAUUAAUGUAAUUAUAAGUAAAAAUUACAUCAGAAAAUUCAUCUUUA
Molecule: long non-coding RNA, 7837 nt
Organism: Ooceraea biroi (clonal raider ant)
Lineage: Eukaryota; Metazoa; Arthropoda; Insecta; Hymenoptera; Formicidae
Source: RefSeq, a predicted model, not a curated record